This 460-nucleotide ribosomal RNA is filed under the name uncultured Methanosaeta sp. Its description in RNAcentral is "bacterial SSU rRNA". It matches the Rfam family "Archaeal small subunit ribosomal RNA", at positions 878 to 1338 of the family's 1478-position model. The record is from RNAcentral. Lineage: Archaea; Methanobacteriati; Methanobacteriota; Methanomicrobia; Methanotrichales; Methanotrichaceae.
ACUACAACGGGUGGAGCCUGCGGUUUAAUUGGAUUCAACGCCGGAAAUCUCACCGGGGCGACAGCAAUAUGAAGGUCAGGCUGAAGACCUUACCCGAUUAGCUGAGAGGUGGUGCAUGGCCGUCGUCAGUUCGUACUGUGAAGCAUCCUGUUAAGUCAGGCAACGAGCGAGACCCACGUCCACAGUUGCCAGCAUACCCUCCGGGGUGAUGGGUACACUGUGGAGACCGCCGCUGCUAAAGCGGAGGAAGGAGUGGGCAACGGUAGGUCAGUAUGCCCCGAAUCUCCCGGGCUACACGCGGGCUACAAUGGUUGGUACAAUGGGCAUCUACCCCGAAAGGGGAAGGAAAUCUCUUAAAGCCAAUCGUAGUUCGGAUUGAGGGCUGCAACUCGCCCUCAUGAAGCUGGAAUCCGUAGUAAUCGCGUUUCAACAGAACGCGGUGAAUACGUCCCUGCUCCUU